RNAcentral lists this ribosomal RNA (253 nucleotides) under uncultured bacterium. RNAcentral describes it as "partial 16S ribosomal RNA". It matches the Rfam family "Bacterial small subunit ribosomal RNA", at positions 524 to 776 of the family's 1533-position model. The record is from RNAcentral.
UACGUAGGGUGCGAGCGUUAAUCGGAAUUACUGGGCGUAAAGCGUGCGCAGGCGGUUCGCUGUGUCCGAUGUGAAAGCCCCGGGCUCAACCUGGGAAUGGCAUGGGAAACUGGCGGGCUGGAGUGUGGCAGAGGGGGGUGGAAUUCCGCGUGUAGCAGUGAAAUGCGUAGAGAUGCGGAGGAACACCGAUGGCGAAGGCAGCCCCCUGGGAUAACACUGACGCUCAUGCACGAAAGCGUGGGGAGCAAACAGG